Molecule: long non-coding RNA, 226 nt
Filed under: Parus major (Great Tit)
Lineage: Eukaryota; Metazoa; Chordata; Aves; Passeriformes; Paridae
Description: lncRNA (ENSPMJG00000012504.1)
Source: RNAcentral
UAUGAACCUCUUCACUCUGAUACAGCAACAUGAUCCACGGAGAUCAGUGGCUGCUCCUGGUCAUCAUCCUGAUGGUAACACUUGGAACAUUACAGUAGAUAAUAUCCUUCAAACAACUUGGAGGCUGCUGAAAUGUGGAUUGCAAACACAACAGAUCUCAUGGAUGUUUGCCUAACAUGGAAGGUCCCUGGCAGACCAGCACACAGCCAGUGCAGUUCUUUGGUUU